Molecule: ribosomal RNA, 773 nt
Filed under: uncultured Neocallimastigales
Lineage: Eukaryota; Fungi; Neocallimastigomycota; Neocallimastigomycetes; Neocallimastigales
Description: partial large subunit ribosomal RNA
Rfam family: Eukaryotic large subunit ribosomal RNA (bases 1-663)
Source: RNAcentral
CGCAUCUGUGCAUGCAGCAUAUCAAUAAGCGGAGGAAAAGAAACUAACAAGGAUUCCCUCAGUAACGGCGAGUGAAGCGGGAAGAGCUCAAAUUUGAAAUCUUGAAAGGUCACCUUUCACGAAUUGUAGUUUAAAGAAGUGUUUUCUGUUACGAUCGUAAUAUAAGUUCUUUGGAAUAGGACAUCACAGAGGGUGAGAAUCCCGUCUAUGAUUGCGAUUUGUAGCUUUGUGAUACACUUUCAAAGAGUCGGGUUGUUUGGGAAUGCAGCCCAAAACGGGAGGUAAAUUUCUUCUAAGGCUAAAUAUUGGCGAGAGACCGAUAGCGAACAAGUACCGUGAGGGAAAGAUGAAAAGAACUUUGAAAAGAGAGUUAAAUAGUACGUGAAAUUGUCAAAAGGGAAGCGUUUAACACCAGUGUUGUUUUCUGAAAAUCAACCUCUGUUAGCUUUAUGCACUGCUUUGUUUAGACCUAAUCAGCUAUCUUGCAUGUUCUAUUGUUUGCAGUGGUGCACUUUUCAGUUUACAGGUCAACAUCAGUUUUUUUUACCGUAAAAAAGUUAAAGAAAGGUAGCUCAUGGCUCCGGUCGUGAGUGUUAUAGUCUUUUUCCUAUGCGGUAGGAGAGACUGAGGUCUGCAGUGUAGGCUAUUUGGCUAGAUACUCAGGUGCUAUGUGAUACCAAUUUCAUAAACAACUUGUUGAUUAUGUUUUGUCUAUUGCAUACUCGCUUGUACUAUCAUACCUACGCUUAGGAUGUUGAAGUCAUCGUACGCGC